RNAcentral lists this unclassified non-coding RNA (240 nucleotides) under soil metagenome. Its description in RNAcentral is "partial contains 5.8S ribosomal RNA, internal transcribed spacer 2, and large subunit ribosomal RNA". The record is from RNAcentral.
AACCAUUCUCACCUGCGGCUAGACCUGCGGAGGGAUCAUUAAUGAAUAAACUUGGUCAAGCUGUUGCUGGUCCUUCGGGGCAUGUGCACGCUUGCCACCAAUUUUAACCACCUGUGCACCUUUUGUAGAUUGGAAACAAACUUUCGAGGCAACUCGGAUUGAGGACUGCUGUGCGCAAGCCAGCUGUUCUUGUGUUUCCCAGUCUAUGUUUUAUAUACACCGAAUGUAUGUAAAAGAAUG